GACAGAGGUGCCAAGCGUUAGGCGGAAUCACUGGGCUUAAAGCGCGUGUAGGCGGGACGGCACGUCGAUCGUUGAAAGCCCCCGGCUCAACCGGGGAAUGGGCGCCGAUACGACCGUCCUGGAGGAACGUAGGGGGACCUGGAACUUCCGGUGGAGCGGUGAAAUGCGUUGAGAUCGGAAGGAACGCCCGUGGCGAAAGCGAGGUCCUGGACGUUUUCUGACGCUGAGACGCGAAAGCCAGGGGAGCGAACGGG
Molecule: ribosomal RNA, 254 nt
Filed under: uncultured bacterium
Lineage: Bacteria
Description: partial 16S ribosomal RNA
Rfam family: Bacterial small subunit ribosomal RNA
Source: RNAcentral